This 30-nucleotide non-coding RNA is filed under the name Cricetulus griseus (Chinese hamster). The record is from RNAcentral. Lineage: Eukaryota; Metazoa; Chordata; Mammalia; Rodentia; Cricetidae.
UUGGAGAAGGAACGAGAGAAGGAGAUCAGU